This 254-nucleotide ribosomal RNA is filed under the name uncultured bacterium. Its description in RNAcentral is "partial 16S ribosomal RNA". It matches the Rfam family "Bacterial small subunit ribosomal RNA", at positions 524 to 776 of the family's 1533-position model. The record is from RNAcentral.
UCCGUAGGGUGCGAGCGUUGUCCGGAAUUAUUGGGCGUAAAGAGCUCGUAGGCGGUGUGUCACGUCGGCCGUGAAAACCUGCAGCUUAACUGUGGGCGUGCGGUCGAUACGGGCAUCACUGGAGUUCGGCAGGGGAGACUGGAAUUCCUGGUGUAGCGGUGAAAUGCGCAGAUAUCAGGAGGAACACCGGUGGCGAAGGCGGGUCUCUGGGCCGAUACUGACGCUGAGGAGCGAAAGCGUGGGGAGCAAACAGG